This is a long non-coding RNA of Astyanax mexicanus (Mexican tetra), 3717 nucleotides long. RefSeq lists it as uncharacterized. The record is from RefSeq and is a predicted model, not a curated record. Lineage: Eukaryota; Metazoa; Chordata; Actinopteri; Characiformes; Acestrorhamphidae. The transcript is spliced from 4 exons.
UGCAGGAUCAGUUGAUGCUUUUGUUCAAAGCCAAUCAGACCGGGGCGCAGGCGGGAAAGGUGCCUUAACAUCCUCAACAUCUGGAGCUGAGGAGGCGGCAGAUGCGGGAGGGGGAGCUCCAGUCAACGGGACUGAGGCAGGAAAUUCACAGGCUUCACAGUCCCGGUAGAGCAGCAGAGACCUCCGCUCUGGAGGAUCCCCAGAAAGCAGCUACACUUACUGCUGAUCGCUGCCCCGAUCUCACUGCACACAGCCUCCAACCUCCCAACCUCAGCAGCUCCUCCUGGUUUAAGAGAGGAAACAGGACACCCCUUAGCACCCUCCCUCUGAAAGCUGUGUGUGUGUGUGUGUGUGUGCCUGUGAGUAUAUAUAUAUAUGUGUGUACUUUCAUUGGUUUUUUUUGCGGCUUGACCUGAUCUCUUCAUGACACCUUUACGAAUGUCUGGCACAGUGCUGCCAUUCAGGCGAACGAGUAAUAGCAGAUAACAGAUUAAUCAGGUUUAAAUAAAUAAAUAAAUCAUAAUUAUUUUGCAAUCACAUCUGUAAUAUUAUUUUAUUAUUUGUAUGAUGAGUCGCAUAAUACAGACUUAAUUUGGCUGACAUUUAUAUAUGACACAUUAUAUACACAUUAUGAUCAGAAAUAGCAUGCUUUAUGUAUACAUUUAUAGAAUGCCUGCAAACAUAUAUGUAAUCAUAUUUAUGGUUGUAUACUCAUUUUUACAGUUUCUCCCCUUUUUUAACACAAAAUUAAAUUGUGUCAAUAUUUCAUGAUGAGUGAACCAAUACAAAUGCUGCAAAAUGACUAGCAAAAUGACUUUUAUUAAAAGUAUUUUUUGUAAUACUGCCAUUUUUAAGACACAAAGCUUUGUUAAUUACAUAAUAUGGUUGUUUUUUUUUUUUUUGGCACCUUAACGAGAAUACGUUCUCUAGUCAGCAUUCUCAAUAGACAGACAUUAAUCAAACAGACUUUUACAGCUAAAAUAUAUUAAAAAUAGCUUUAAUAUCAAGUAUUCAGGAAUGCUUAAACAUGCUUAACUACUGUAAACGCAGGGUUGAGAGCAAGCGGAGGAAAAACGUCUCGUCUGUCAAAUGUAAACGCCUCACAUUCCCGUUUGUAGACUGUCGUCGUCUUCUCGGUCUUCUCGCCCUUCUGUUCUGUUCUUAAUAUAGUCUUUGAACUGACUGAAAUGAAGCACAAUAAAGGCAUACAGACAUAUACAGCUUAUUCCAGCUAGGGUUGCAUAGUAUAUCAUUUUAAUGUUAUUAUCAUUAUCAUCAUCAUCAUUAUUAUAACAAUGUUUGCAUGUGCAGUAUUCACAUUGCAGGACUUGCAUAUGUGCGAAUGUAACGCAAAUUUAAUCAAUCCCAAAACACAAAAAUUUAUAUUGACCUGUUUACCUGGAGCUGAAUAUAUUGGCUCAUUUUUUUUUUCAGUACAUUUUUUCAGUCUUCAGUACGUAUAAGGAAUUAUUAAUAUCACAACCUGCUGAAUCAUUGGUGUAUUUGGUGCAAACUCCUGUAUUUAUUUAGAUAUGAAAUAUAUCACAAUACAUAAUUAAAAACAACAGAUAAUUAUUAUUUUUUUUCAUUAUCAAUAUCAUGUAGCCCUAAAUAUAGCACUGUUAUUACAUUAUUUUGCUAGUUAGUAUUUGUAAAUGUGCCGUGCCUAAGGCAGCACGUCCAAUGAAUAAUCUCUUUAAAAAAAGGCACAGGAGAUAAAUAUCUGAUGUUAUCAGAUCAGGCAUUGGAGAUAAAUCUUUAUUCGUAAAUCUAAAUUUGUUCACGUCGCUCCAACAUAGUUUCACAUUCAUUCAUUAAUUUAUUUAUUCAUUUAUUAAAGAGAAAAGAGACUGAAAACAGCAGUAAGGACAGUAAGUGGAUGUAUGCGUUCAUCCGGAAGUGUGUUUUAUAAGACAUAUAAUAUAUAUAUAUAUAUAUAUAUAUAUAUAUAUAUAUAUAUAUAUAUAUGUCUCUGUGUGUGUGUGCUCUCUCACAGUGCCUGCUCCCUUUGGCUUCUCCCAACCAGUAGAGAAAAGGAAGUCCAUGAGAAAGUCCCAGAAAAUCUCACAUCUGCAGCAGGGAUGGAGCAGAGUACACACAGAGGUCAAGUCCCCGGCGAUGCGAAAGUACCAGAUUGGAAGCCUCAAAACCAGCAGCAUUUUUGACUAUUUUGAUGUUCCAGCUUUGUGAAGCAAAGCCACAAGAGUGGAGGCAGAAAACACACCCAAUUAAUUCUGACAUUGACAGGAUUCCUCUCUCUCUCUCUCUCUCUCUCUGUCUGUAUCUCUCUCUCUCUCGUUGACUCUCUCUCGCUCUCUCUCUCUCUCUCUCUCUCUGCAGCCUCUUCCCGACCUAGAGAAGGUAAGCACAGAAAAAAAGAAAAAAAAAAAAAAAAAAGAACACCGGGGGGGUGGGUGGGCUGAAGGAAAACUUUGACUCAGGGCAGAUGACUUAUCACUCGUUGAAGAAAUUAAUAAUUGACUCGACGUUAAGAUGAAUAAUUAAUCAAGCGCCGGAAUAAUUGUUGUAUCUCUAAUCUCCUCGACACACAUUUGCAUAGGAGCAUAUGAGCCUUUUUUAAAGCACACCAACCACUAUGCAUGUACAUAUAUAUAAAUGGAUACUGUAUAUGCAUAUAAUUAUACUAUAUUUAGUACCAAUAGUCAAACAUUUGGACACGCCUCCUUUUCUUCUCAAUUUAAUGUGUUUUGUUUUUCAUUUUGUGAUUUUAUGAUUUACAUUGUAAAUUUAAUAUUGAAAAAAAAACGAUAUUAUUAAAAAGAGCUAUACAAGAACACGUGUGGAAUUAUUGGUUUAAUGUAAACAAAAUAUUAAAAGUGUAAAACAAACCAGAAUAUGUUUUAUAUUUUAGAUUCUGACUAGCAGACACAUUUUGAUGCUUUGAGGACAAAUUUAAUCUCAGUGUCUUCAUGAGGGAGAAUCAUCCGGAACAGUUUUUUUCAGUGUCUUGAAGGAGUUCCAAGUUCCUGGAGGUGCUGAACAAAAUAGUUGCUGCUUUUCCUUCAAGUUAUGGUCUACAGUUCAUCCUAAAGCAUCACAAAUUAAUCAUAUCAGUUGGGUUUAGGUCAGCGGAUUGUGGAGGAAAAACCCUUUUUUGAUAAUUACAUAAUUCAAUACAUGACUAAUGAAUAAUCAAAAAAUAAAGAAAUAAAGAAAAACAUUGAAUGAGGUGUGUCUAAACAUUUAUCUCAGCAAAGCGAUACAAGUGUUCUGCUAAUACAAAAUUGCAUUAUCACAUUAGAACAGAUGCAGGUAAACAUAAAAACAAUUAAAAAAAAAGGCCAGAUGAUCUCUCAUUUGGAAAAAAGAAGCUGAGAUCUUGUGAGCUCUACUCUGAAGAGUGUUGAAUUCCAUCAGCAGCUCACCUGAUAUACCUACAUUUACCAUAAUUAAACUCUGAUUUAUCAAUCCAGGUGAUGAUUAUACGAUUAUCACUCUACAUAAUACUAGAUUAGACCAUGAGAAGAGCUUUAAAGAUGUUUUAGUGAACACAGUGUAGUAAAAGUUAUUAUAUACUUCAUUAUAGGAAUGCUACUACUGUAUUUGUAUUUAUUUUAAUAUUCUAACAUAGUGUUUUACUGAGCUAAUAAAGUAAAUUUACUGGCUAGAAAGAAACCUUGUCUGUUUUUUGUAUUUUCUGCAGGUGCCUAAGAGUUUUGCUCAGUACCGUGUGUGUGUGUGUGUGUAUAUAUAUAU